RNAcentral lists this unclassified non-coding RNA (479 nucleotides) under Hevea brasiliensis (rubber tree). Lineage: Eukaryota; Viridiplantae; Streptophyta; Magnoliopsida; Malpighiales; Euphorbiaceae. The record is from RNAcentral.
ACCAAAUCCACAACGUAGUCGUCCUAAUGUCAUGUAUGCAAACCUGUGGCACGGCAGCUCACAACUCAUACCAAAUCCACAACGUAGUCGUCCUAAUGUCAUGUAUGCAAACCUGUGGCACGGCAGCUCACAACUCAUACGGAGAAGCACGACCGUCUUGUUGAGUCUCCAAGAAGUUCCGUGGCAGAUUGAACAAUGGGCCACUGCUCAUUUCCUUGGGUACCGGCUUCGGCGCCUUCUUUCUUUUCCUCGCAGGUGGUGACGACUCAACAAGCAGCAUAUCAUGCCGAGUCGCGGGUUCCGCCCAAGACAAUGGAUUCACAUCAACAGGUUCAGGAGGAGUUCCCGAACCAGCACCCGCAUUUCCAUUCAUCACACGUGGAGGACGCUUUCUUAAAUAAUUCUCUUGCAAAGGCCUUGGGGUUUGGAAAGAAAACUGAGAUAAAGUUACCCCUUGUCUAAUGUACUCUGGAUUUUCA